GCGUUGUCCUCUUCGUAUAUGACUGAAAAAGAAAGAGUGAGAACGAGAGCGCGUAAAGGAGAAUGACUCAGGUUACGAUCUUAUCCGAGUUCUCCCGAACGAACAACGAACGUUUAAAGACAGCUGUUCUACCAUUAUCGAAUCGUUUUCUUCUGACAGGAAAUAAAUUUGUAUUAAAGUGUUUCAUUUUUCAUCAUUAUAUAUUGUUAAUUUUUACAUUUUGUCAACAAGUUUUGAUGACGAACGAUGCAGUUCAUUACAUUUAGGUCUCUUCUUAUAAUCUUAUCAUUAUUAAUAACUAGUGAACAAACUGAAGAGGUUAACAUGACCUAAUUAAUUUGUGAUACCACGACCGGCCUUGAAUUUAAGCUUCUGACGAACCAACAGCAUUUAUUAUGGCACUGGGACCAUUUAAACGGCUAUAGCUACCUAUGAAAAGGAUUUUUCGGCUUACGUACCAUUUUUCACUUAUGGAUUCAACUAUCUUCUCUAUCUAAAUAUGGUCAUUUUUUAAAUGACACGUUGUCGAAGGUGUUGUGCAGCAUAAUGCCUUUAAGUGGACUCUUAUGCAUUUUCCAAGGACGUUGUUACCAAAUGAAAUUUGUUGUAUAAACAACAUUCUUUGGUGGCUUGAUCACUUACAUCAUAGUUAAAUAUUUCGCAUCUUACGAAAUUACAACAAACUUUAGAAUAAGUAUAGACAGAAGUUUAGUUUUCCUCUUUAUCUUGGAGAUUAUUUUCUUCUUUUUCAAAACAAAAUAUAACAAAGUUAAUUUCAUUACUUUUUCUUGGACUUCUCUGCAACUCGAUCAUCUAUUUCAGUAUAAAAGGUAAAAUAAUGAUUGAUAAAGAUAAGGAUAAAUGGUCACCUAGCUUCUAUAACUAAAAUAGAUAUAGCUAACGGGUAAAUUUCAUUCAAGUGUGAAGGCAAGCAUAGGCGUCUAUCAGCAUUUAUACGAAGCGUAAUAAAGCUUCGUUAAAAUGAGCUCCUCACACAAAAUUUAUCUUAACACGAUUUUUACAAAAAGAAAACUACAUAGAUUCUAAUUCUUUAAACUUAUAUAACGUCAUAAACUAAAUUUUUUUUGUUACUAUAUAUAUAAAAUAAUAGAAUAUUCGUUGAUCUUAUUCUGAAAUCUGUAUCCGUUUACAACAGUUUUUCAAUAAACUAAAUAUUUUAUUCAAAAUUUAAAAAGAAAAACAAUCGAACAGAAAAGAUGUAGUAACACAUCGAAGAAAAUAUUUUGACUUGACAAAAAAUAGUAUUGAUGAGAGUGGCAACGAGCGUAAAAGUUUGCUACACGCUCUCUUCCCAUUUGAUCGUUUUUAAUACUAAAGUAAAAGAGAGUAAAAGAGAAAGAGAAAAUAAGGGUGGAUGGAGGGUGUAUGAGGUGGAGUGAGGGUUGGCCAGCAGGCCGAAGUUAGUCCGAGUUUGGCGAAGGGAUGAAAUGUAGAGACUUCGUGUCUCUCCCUUUUUCGGGGGUAGCUUCUAUCAAUGUUGUCCGUUCAUGUGGAAACUUUCGGCUGUUGAAUCCCCCUCAGUGCAGGGAGUAGAAGCAGAGCGACAUCCGCGUUGCCUCCCACCUUUCUCACUUUAACACGAGCACGAGGACGAACACAUCCCCUCCCCAUCCCCAUCCUUCCAUUCCGUGCACGCGCGCGUGUACUUUUCUGCGCGCACAAUGAGCCUUCGUCCACUCUCUCAUUCUCUUUUUCUCUUUUCUUUUAUCUCUGUCAUAUUGCCUUCCAAUUCCAAAUCCCACAGAAUGAUCUAACCAGCUUGGAAGAUUUGCAUUUACCUAAUUGUGUUCCCUCUUUAUUUGCUUAGUACCAAGACCUAUUUAGAUUACCCGCUUUUAGUAGGCACAACCCUCCGUCGAGUCCCGUCUUGAUUCUUUCUUGAAAUCAUAGAAAAUGGUCUAUUGUUUUUUAUUUUCUUUUUAUAUUAUUUCUAUUAUUUUCAUAAAGUGGAUGCAAAGUUUCAUUAGUUCGCGAAUCAAUAGAAUCAUUUCAAUCUAUAUAUUAUUAUUUCUAAACGAAUGAGAUAAACUUAAACCAUACAUUAUCAUCCACAUGUUCCCCUUUUUCAGAAUUUCUGUACUUUUUGGUAAAUGAUCAGUUGUUUUGGAUGAAAUAUUGGACCAUCAUAUUCUCAUUCGUAAGGAUGGAGGAUUUAUAUUUUUUAAUUUUCUUUAAGCUUCUUAAUAACGCGAAUUAUAUUUAAUAUUCUAUCACUUACCUUUCAACUUGAUAUUGAAAGCUUAAUACUUCAAUAUUGAACGAUCGUUGUACAAAAUACACCAUUGUAUUUCGCUUUAUAUAUUCAUACCAAAAAAGAUUUUGUAUAAAUGUAUAUAUUUAAGUUGAUAACGAAGUACUUACUUAGAUGUACAUUCUUUUAACUUAACAAUCUUCUCUUUCUUGUUCCUAGUGUAUUAGUAAACAUGUGUGGGUUUGAUCUCUAUAUAUUUGUUUAGUGGUAUUAUGUGGGUAAAGAAUGUGACUCUGUUAAGAUUAAAAUGAAAUAACAUUUAUUGGAAUUGAGACAGCGACAGCUAACAAUAUGGUUCUAAUUUCCUACUACUUACAAUCUUAAAGGUAAUCACAGCAACAAUAUUAUCUCAUUAUUCACAACACUUACAUUGGAUUACGGUCGUAUUAAUAUAUAUGCAUAUACGUACGUAAUAUUUUAUAUACAUUUUUUUAUUAUUUCUCGUUAAUAAAUUUGUUUAUACUUAUACACUGUAUUCAUUACUAGUAUCGUUGUUACAGAUAAGAGAAGUGUUACGUGACCACUUCUACGUCAUGUUGUUUUUUUUUUUUUAAAUUACUUGCUGAUAACCGGAAAGGAAAGAGAUAAUAAUGUUAAUCAAUCGGUUAUUUAAAAAAAAGAAAUUGGAAAUAAUCAAGUUACCUGAUGAAAUAUUAGAUAAUUUAACUCUUUUCUGUAUUAGAGCGAUUAAACAAAUUUAUUUAUUAUAAUCUGUGCAGAGAACGAGUAAAAGAAAACGAUUCAAGGUUCUUAUCGAAUACGAUAAAGACGCAGAAGUGGUAACUUACAGAGCGAAAUCAUAACGUACGUAGAUGUUUCGAAACGAUCGGUUAAAAUUGAUAAGGGACCUUUGCUUGUAAAUCUUCGAACAAGAUGAGUGAACAAUGAAAAUUGUCUGAUGUAUUAUAAAAAGCAACGAAGGAUAAAUUCUAUUUGCGAAUCUAUGAUCUGUGCUCGUUUCUGUCCCUGCUUUUUUCCUUUUUAAAUUUCAUUUUAAUUUUGUUUUUUUUUGUUUCUGUUCCAAAAAUAUAAAUUUACUAGAUAAUUUACAAUAUAGUUUCACGGUUUUUAUUCCACAUUAACGUAUCGUAACGUCGCGUGAAAAAGUGCUUAUUGACGAUCGAAAGAGAAAAAAAA
Molecule: long non-coding RNA, 3409 nt
Filed under: Polistes dominula (European paper wasp)
Lineage: Eukaryota; Metazoa; Arthropoda; Insecta; Hymenoptera; Vespidae
Description: uncharacterized LOC107069382, transcript variant X2
Source: RNAcentral